This 253-nucleotide ribosomal RNA is filed under the name uncultured bacterium. RNAcentral describes it as "partial 16S ribosomal RNA". It matches the Rfam family "Bacterial small subunit ribosomal RNA", at positions 524 to 776 of the family's 1533-position model. The record is from RNAcentral.
UACGAAGGGGGCUAGCGCUGCUCGGAAUGACUGGGCGUAAAGGGCGCGUAGGCGGCGAUGAUAGUCAGGCGUGAAAUUCCUGGGCUCAACCUGGGGACUGCGCUUGAUACGUUAUUGCUUGAGUUCGGAAGAGGGUCGUGGAAUUCCCAGUGUAGAGGUGAAAUUCGUAGAUAUUGGGAAGAACACCGGUGGCGAAGGCGGCGACCUGGUCCGACACUGACGCUGAGGCGCGAAAGCGUGGGGAGCAAACAGG